CGGGGUGUAGCGCAGCUGGUAGCGCACCUGUUUUGGGAACAGGGGGUCGGAGGUUCGAGCCCUCUCACCCCGA
This 73-nucleotide transfer RNA is filed under the name bacterium. RNAcentral's name for it is "tRNA-Pro". It matches the Rfam family "tRNA". Rfam says of the family: Transfer RNA (tRNA) molecules are approximately 80 nucleotides in length. RNAcentral also lists the same sequence under 4 other names. The record is from RNAcentral.